Molecule: unclassified non-coding RNA, 432 nt
Filed under: soil metagenome
Description: partial contains 5.8S ribosomal RNA, internal transcribed spacer 2, and large subunit ribosomal RNA
Rfam family: 5.8S ribosomal RNA (bases 1-120)
Source: RNAcentral
GAUGAAGAACGUAGCGAAAUGCGAUACGUAAUGUGAAUUGCAGAAUUCAGUGAAUCAUCGAAUCUUUGAACGCAUAUUGCGCUCUCUGGUAUUCCGGAGAGCAUGCUUGUUUGAGUAUCAGUAAACACCUCAACUUCCAUAUCUUUUUUGAAAUGGGAGUUGGACUUGAGUGAUCCCAACGCUUUUCCUCACCGAAAAGUGGCGGGUUACUUGAAAUGCAGGUGCAGCUGGACUUUUCUCUGAGCUAUAAGCAUAUCUAUUUAGUCUGCCUAAAAAACAGAUUAUUACCUUUGCUGCAGCUAACAUAAAGGAGAUUAGUUCUUGUGCUGACUGAUGCAGGAUUCACAAAGACGGCUUCGGCCGACUUUGUACACUCGAUCUCAAAUCAAGUAAGACUACCCGCUGAACUUAAGCAUAUCAAUAAGCGGAGGA